This 458-nucleotide ribosomal RNA is filed under the name uncultured bacterium. RNAcentral's name for it is "partial 16S ribosomal RNA". It matches the Rfam family "Bacterial small subunit ribosomal RNA", at positions 338 to 795 of the family's 1533-position model. The record is from RNAcentral.
CCUACGGGUGGCAGCAGUGAGGAAUAUUGGUCAAUGGGCGAGAGCCUGAACCAGCCAAGUCGCGUGAGGGAGUACUGCCCUAUGGGUUGUAAACCUCUUUUGUCGGGGAGCAAAAGCCGGACGUGUCCGGCUGUGAGAGUACCCGAAGAAAAAGCAUCGGCUAACUCCGUGCCAGCAGCCGCGGUAAUACGGAGGAUGCUAGCGUUAUCCGGAUUUAUUGGGUUUAAAGGGUGCGCAGGCGGAUUUUUAAGUCAGCGGUAAAAUCGUGGGGCUCAACCCCAUCCAGCCGUUGAAACUGGGGAUCUAGAGUGUGGGAGAGGUAUGCGGAAUGCGUGGUGUAGCGGUGAAAUGCAUAGAUAUCACGCAGAACCCCGAUUGCGAAGGCAGCAUACCGGUGCACAACUGACGCUCAGGCACGAAAGCGUGGGUAUCGAACAGGAUUAGAUACCCGAGUAGUC